GGUGGCUCAGUGGUAGAGUGCUUGCCUUGUAUGCAUGAAGCCCUGGGUUUGAUUCCCCAGCACCA
Molecule: transfer RNA, 65 nt
Filed under: Dipodomys ordii (Ord's kangaroo rat)
Lineage: Eukaryota; Metazoa; Chordata; Mammalia; Rodentia; Heteromyidae
Rfam family: tRNA
About the family: Transfer RNA (tRNA) molecules are approximately 80 nucleotides in length. Their secondary structure includes four short double-helical elements and three loops (D, anti-codon, and T loops).
Source: Rfam by way of RNAcentral